CUCUUUUUCAGGCAUAUUAGAAACCUCCCUUACAGAGAAUAUUUAUCAGCCAAGAAGAGAGCUUUAAAAUUCUAGGUAGAUAUGCUUCUACCUGUAAAUACUAAGAACUUCUCAUGCCUCUUCUACCUAUGCAGGUUUUGAGAAUGGCUGCUACCUGUCUGACAGUGAAGAUAGUGUCAAAAUCAGACACAACUGAUUCAGUGGUUCUACAGCUCUGUUUCCUCCACUAAGAAGCUUUUACAGACAAUAGGGGAUGUGUGCAUGGCACUGAAUGUAAAGCUUGGAUUCUCUUCUCAAGCAGGAAACCCAGCAGAAGGGUUUCUUUUUCUUUUUGAAAGCUUUUUUCUGACAACUGUAUUUGUAAAUUAAAAUCCUUAAGAUGCUGGAAUGCCAGCUUUUCUUUUCAUAGAGAUAAAUACAGCAAUGUCUUCACUUUCUGAUGCAUCUCUCAGGGCACGACAUUCAAUUAAAAACAGCAUCAGAAAAACAUGUUUUUCUGUACAUUUUUCAGCUAUCAAAUAGGUGGUUGUUAUAAAAGAAAUUUUUAGUGACAGGGAAUGAUCUGUAACUUGCUUGCAAUACCCAAAAGAAUGCUGCCAGGCAGAUUAUGAGCUCUUUGUGUCUAUCAUGGACAUAUGAGAUAUAUGUAUGUGUGAGUUCAUAGACUUAUAUACGUUCUGUAUGCAUGUAUAUGUGCAUGUGCACGUACACAUCUGCAUACAGUAUGACAGUAGAAAUUGUAGGAACUGGUAGGUUGGCUGCUGUGAUUACAGCCAAGGUGAAUAGCCCACAUGCACUGGGCAGUGGGUUGCCUUUGGAAGGUAUUGAUAAGCUUAGUUUCAAGUGGAACAAAUCCUGACUGACUGUGGUUAAUCUUGUUCCAGUUGAUGCAGAGAAGACUUAAGAACUGCAGCAGACGUUGCCAAUGGCCAGUGAUGGAAGUUAAUUUCCAGCAGGGGUCAGAAUGGUGUCUGAAGUGCAUGGUCUUCUUACAGCAGCUAUCUCACUGCCAGUGGAUAUGCAGUCGGUUUUCUGGGAUGUGGGACAGUGCCAGGCUUGGUACUCAGCUGCCAUAACAGCAUGCUGCUGUUAUGAGGAAACUGCCAAGAAAAGCUUGUUCUGUGGAAGUGCUGCUCAUUUACAAUCAGGUACCUAUGGCACCUCCUCCUGAAAGCACCAGGUCUCUGGUAAGUUGCUUAGGGUUCACUGUGCUGCUUUUCCUGUCCUAUCUCUCCAGGCUAGAGUCUGUCCCAUUUCCCUCGUGCCAGUUUUCUGAGUUAGUUCAAGCCUGCUAAUCCCAUCCACCAAUGGCACCAAUUUUAUGGGAAAUCCUAUUUAUUCCUUAGCAGUGCUUGAUCCCAUGGCCAAGAUCUCCUAUCUUCAUUUGUUUUUCUGAUAGAAAAUUUAUCUGCUAGAGAAGGAAAAAAAGAAUUGUCACUCUGCUAGCUAUUUGUCAUUACAAUGAUUUUUUGUUUUGGUUUUAGGGUGAAGUAAUGCUCAGGAUACUCUCAAGCAUCUUACACAUCCUUAUUCCAAGUAAGUCACACAAUUAAUUGCUGUGAUUUCUUCCAAAAUCAUAUGAAUUUACUGCGGGAGCUUUCUCUCAAACAUCAAAUAUUAGUUGUGCUUUAUUUUUUUAUACCAACAGAACACGAUUCUUUAAAGGCUUCCCUUAUCUUUUAGUGUCAGACUCUGACAAGUCCUAAGUUUUAUAUAUUACAUUAAAGAGAGUUUCUCCUUUGCAUAAGUGACGUGCAAACAUGCUAUGAGAUCCUUGACACAAAGUCCUCUGUACCAGCUUUUUUUUUGUUUCAUUUAGUUCCAUUUUCUAAAUGGCAUAAAAUAACACCCAGUGGACUUUUAACAAAAUAAAGGUUACAACAUUAAGCUUUUUCUUCCA
Molecule: long non-coding RNA, 1900 nt
Organism: Phasianus colchicus (ring-necked pheasant)
Lineage: Eukaryota; Metazoa; Chordata; Aves; Galliformes; Phasianidae
Source: Ensembl